UACGUAGGGGGCAAGCGUUGUCCGGAAUCAUUGGGCGUAAAGCGCGUGUAGGCGGCUCGCUAAGUCCGCUCUGAAAGUCCAGGGCUCAACCCUGGGAUGCGGGUGGAUACUGUCGGGCUCGAGUCCGGAAGAGGCGAGUGGAAUUCCUGGUGUAGCGGUGAAAUGCGCAGAUAUCAGGAGGAACACCAAUGGCGAAGGCAGCUCGCUGGGACGUGACUGACGCUGAGACGCGAAAGCGUGGGGAGCAAACAGG
This 253-nucleotide ribosomal RNA is filed under the name uncultured bacterium. Its description in RNAcentral is "partial 16S ribosomal RNA". It matches the Rfam family "Bacterial small subunit ribosomal RNA", at positions 524 to 776 of the family's 1533-position model. The record is from RNAcentral.